GAGUAACACGUGGGCAACCUGCCUGUAAGUUGGGGAUAACUCCGGGAAACCGGGGCUAAUACCGAAUGAUAGAAUGUGGCGCAUGCCACGCUUUUGAAAGAUGGUUUCGGCUAUCGCUUACAGAUGGGCCCGCGGUGCAUUAGCUAGUUGGUAGGGUAAUGGCCUACCAAGGCAACGAUGCAUAGCCGACCUGAGAGGGUGAUCGGCCACACUGGGACUGAGACACGGCCCA
RNAcentral lists this ribosomal RNA (232 nucleotides) under Listeria monocytogenes. Its description in RNAcentral is "partial 16S ribosomal RNA". It matches the Rfam family "Bacterial small subunit ribosomal RNA", at positions 108 to 333 of the family's 1533-position model. Lineage: Bacteria; Bacillati; Bacillota; Bacilli; Caryophanales; Listeriaceae. The record is from RNAcentral.